This 71-nucleotide transfer RNA is filed under the name Loxodonta africana (African savanna elephant). It matches the Rfam family "tRNA". From Rfam's summary of the family: Transfer RNA (tRNA) molecules are approximately 80 nucleotides in length. Lineage: Eukaryota; Metazoa; Chordata; Mammalia; Proboscidea; Elephantidae. The record is from Rfam by way of RNAcentral.
GCAUUGGUGGGUCAGGGGUAGAAUUUUCACCUUCCAUGGGGAAGACCCAGGUUCCAUUCCUGACCAGUGCA